UAGCACCUAAAAGCGUUUUCCUGCUAGCCCAAUAAAUGCUCUUGAAAAUCGUUGAUGUGUGCCAGACAAAACUUCUCGCAACAGCAAAGUGAUCGGAGUUCCAUUCAUU
This 109-nucleotide small nucleolar RNA is filed under the name Drosophila persimilis. RNAcentral describes it as "snoRNA:GL27852". It matches the Rfam family "Small nucleolar RNA psi28S-3316", at positions 1 to 106 of the family's 133-position model. Rfam says of the family: psi28S-3316 is a member of the H/ACA class of snoRNA. This family is responsible for guiding the modification of uridine 3316 in Drosophila 28S rRNA to pseudouridine. The record is from RNAcentral. Lineage: Eukaryota; Metazoa; Arthropoda; Insecta; Diptera; Drosophilidae.